GUAGGUGGCAAGCGUUGUCCGGAAUUAUUGGGCGUAAAGCGCGCGCAGGCGGUUCUUUAAGUCUGAUGUGAAAGCCCACGGGCUCAACCGUGGAGGGUCAUUGGAAACUGGAGAACUUGAGUACAGAAGAGGAAAGCGGAAUUCCACGUGUAGCGGUGAAAUGCGUAGAGAUGUGGAGGAACACCAGUGGCGAAGGCGGCUUUCUGGUCUGUAACUGACGCUGAGGCGCGAAAGCGUGGGGAGCAAACAGGAUUAGAUACCCUGGUAGUCCACGCCGUAAACGAUGAGUGCUAAGUGUUAGGGGGUUUCCGCCCCUUAGUGCUGCAACUAACGCAUUAAGCACUCCGCCUGGGGAGUACGGCCGCAAAGGCUG
Molecule: ribosomal RNA, 373 nt
Filed under: uncultured organism
Description: partial 16S ribosomal RNA
Rfam family: Bacterial small subunit ribosomal RNA
Source: RNAcentral